UGCUGUUGAAAUUUUCAUUUUGUUUUAUUCUGUAAUUGGAACUGAUUGAUGCCGUUGCAGAAUCAACUAGUAGCAUGAAAUUACUCCCUUCAAAUUUUUAUUUUAUUUUAUUUUUUGGUAAAAAGACAAAAUAUACUGUUAUGGCCGAAAAGACUGACCUCAAUAAUUUUCGAAGCAUGCCUGGUUCAGGAUCUACGUAUACAGGAAGGACUUUCUACUUUUAAGAACAUCAUUCAAGGUGAUUUUAUUACAUUAAAUACUAAAUUUCAUUAUAUACAUUUCGUUCUUUUUAUUUUAUUGGAACUAGGGUGUACAUAAAAUCGACCAAACCAACUAAAUCAGUUUGGAUUGAUACGGUUUUAUCGAAUUUUUUAAAUUUUUUAAUUAUAUAAAUAUUAUUUUAAUCUUAAUUUGAUAAAUUUUUAAUAAAUAAAUAUAUGUUAGUAAAAAUUACAAAUUGAUAAAUAUAUGAUCUAUUUAAAAUAUUCUAAUGGAAGAAUUUUCUUAGUAAUACAUCAUAGUUAUUUUUUAGUCGUACGAAAAUAAUUUUACAUUGAUAUACACUUUCAAGCUUACAACAACAAACACAGCUUAAUCUCAUACGUGGGGUCUGGAGAGGGUAGUGGGUACGUAGCCUUACUCUAUCAUAUAAAGGAAGAGAGGAUGUUUCUGAUAGACCCUCAGUUUAAGGAACUCUAAAGAUAAAGCAACAAGCAAUAACAGAAAUAAUAUAAUAAGGUAAUGAAAGCGAGUGACAUAACAAGUAAUAAAGAACUAGGAAUAAAAUAAUACACGAAUAGUACUAGUACCACUGGUGAACCUAGGAGGAACUCACAACUAUCUGUCAACACAUUACCUUGAUCUUCAACCUCCACAUCUUCCUAUCACUAGUCAUGUCCUCGGUUAUGUGAAGCAUUGACAUGUCCUGCCUAAUGUAACGACACAGCUGCUCAUUUUUGAAAUUUACUCCCUGAUCCCCCAUUAACUGUUCCCCAUAAGUUUAUUUCUGCUAAUUUUAUUUAAUUUUUCGGGACGUUCGAUAUUGGGCUUCGGAGAGUUUUGGGAUACUUAGUCCCUAAAUGAGAGAUUAAUUGUUGGAAAAUGGUCCGUAGUCGGAACAGUGUGAAGACGACCUCGGAAUGGAAAACCGAUGGUUCUGCUAGCUUCGCUAGGUGAUUUUGUGGUUGGGAGCGUGUUCGGAGUGUAUUUUGGAAGUGCGUAGCUCAUUUAGGCUUGAAAUGCCGAAGUUUGUAUUUUUGAAGUUUACGGUCCGAUAGUGAAUUUUUUAUACGAGGGUUGGAAUGGAAUUUCAAAAGUUGCAUUAGUUUCGUCAUGUCAUUGGGGAUGUGUGUACAAAAUUUAAGGUUAUUCGGACGUGUUUUGAUAGGUUUUUAAUUGAAAGUGUAUUUGGAUAACAAUUAAAGUUCUUAAGCUUGAAUCUGUGACUAAAUCGGGUUCCCGGUAUUGUUUUAAGUGUUUUAUGGAUUGGUACACGUUUGAAUGAGCUAUUAGGUGGUAUUUGUGCUUUUGCUUGAGGUCCCAGGGGGGCCUCGGGAUGAUUUCGGGUGGUCGACAGAAAGAUUUAAAGUUGAAUGGAUUGCUGAAGGUCUGUCUACUAUCAUAACCGCACCUGCGGUUGGGGUUCCGUAGGUGCGGAGCCGCAUAAGCGGCCGGCUCAACGCAGAUGCAGAAGUUGGGAUCUUUCAAUUUAUCGCAGGUGCGGAUGAUUUACCACAGAAGCGGUUUGCACAUGCGAGAUCUUUUACCACAGAAGUGGGACUUGGCCCUUAAGUGAAAGCUGCAGAAACGGCUCGUGGUCCGCAGAAGCGGUCCCUUGUUCGCAGAUGCGGAAACCACUAUUCAGAUAUAAAAAAUUCGAGGGUUGAGUUUCAAAGUUAAAGAAAUGAAUUGAGAGUGCGAUUUUGAGAGGGUUUUGAAGAAGAGAUUAUUGGGUAACAUUUGUUUGAUCCCUUCUAGUUAUAUUUCAUCAUUUUAUAGUUAAAUCCAUCAUUAGAAUUGGAAUUUAGGAUUAAAAAAAUUAGAUAAUUUGGGUAAAACUUCAUUGGCUAAACUAUUGAGUUUUGAGUGAGCAUUUGACCUCCGAUUUGGGAGAUUUUUAUAUGGUUAGACUCGUGAGAGUACGAGGGUUCUGAAAAUAUAAAAUUUAUUCGAUUCCAAGAUGUUGGCUUGAGGGGUAUUUUUGUUAUUUAACCUAUUUUCACGUCAUAGCUUUAAAUUUAAUUGUGAAACCAAUGGUUUGCAAUAUUAUUUACGAUAUGUAAUUGAAUUGACUAGAUUUGGGUCAUUUGGAGUCUGAUACUCGUGGCAAAGGCGAGCUUCCUAGUUGAUUAUUUAGCCGGUUCGAGGUAAAUGGCUUGUCUAAUUUUGUGCAGGGGACCUUCUCCCCUUAGGACUUGUUUGAGUGCCUUGUACGUGAGGUGACGAGCGUGUACUUGUGUUAAUUGUUGAACAUCCAACUUUUACUUAAAAUGAUCAAGUUUCUAUUUCUUUCUUUCUUGUUUUGUUACUUGCCAUAUAGCAUGUGAUAGCCUAAAAAAUCUUUAUAGCUGACUUAAUUGGUUUAAUUGCUUAAUUCUCUUGUUGCAUUACGUGAAGCAUGUUAGGUUAGAUUCCUUGUUGCCUUGGUGUUUUAUUCCAUUUCCGAUUAUUCUCUGUCAGUGGUUGCAUAUUUAUAUUUGGGACUACGAAUGUGGGACUCCGGUAGCUCCCUCUUGUUUAUUUACUUUGGGACAGCGGGUUCGAUUUCCGAUAUAUCCCACUGCAUAUUUACUUUGGGAUUACGGGUUAGAUUUUUGGUAGAUCCCCUUGCACAUUGAUAGUUGGACUAUGGGACAGUAUCCUGGGAGAUCCUUCAUAGAUACUUAUGUGAUGGAGUACGGGACAAUAUCCCGGGAGAUCCACUGGACAGUUGAAAAAGGACUACAGGACUUCAUCUUGGGAGAUCCUCAUAGCAUCAUUAAUAAUGAGUUGUACUUUUUCGUGUUCAUUUCUUAGUUCGAUUAUUUGUUGUUGACUUGUAGAUUCUGUCUUAUUUCACUAUUGUUUACAUUAUUCUACCUAUUCUCAUACUGCACAUUAUUAUUAUUAUGUUUUUCUCAGUAUGGCUUUGACCUUCCUCGUCACUACCCGACCGAGGUUGGGCUUGGCACUUAUUGAGUACUGUUAUGGUACACUCACGCCUCUUAUGUACAUGUUUUUUCAUGCGCAGAUUCAGGUACCUCUACUUAGGCGCACUAUCAGUGUGGCAGGAGGACUACGAAGACUUCGAGGUAGAUCUGAUGCGUCCGCAGACUGAAGAGUCUCCCUCUUUACUCUAUCUUUACUACUUAGUUUUCUUUUCUUUCUAUUGUUAGACAUUCUGGAGUUUAGAGCCUUUAUUAUACACCUCUAUAGCUCUGUUGCCAAUGAGUUUCCGGGUUUUGGGAAUUGUUUUAGACUUGUGAUGUUGAGUUGUAUGUGCCGAGCGGCAUUCAGUACAAUUUCCUUUCUAGCUAUUAAAUUUGGUUUUCUCUGUUUUUCCGCAA
Molecule: long non-coding RNA, 3545 nt
Filed under: Nicotiana benthamiana
Lineage: Eukaryota; Viridiplantae; Streptophyta; Magnoliopsida; Solanales; Solanaceae
Description: long non-coding RNA (NBEN_LNC004115)
Source: RNAcentral